UACAGAGGUGGCAAGCGUUGUUCGGAAUUACUGGGCGUAAAGGGCGCGUAGGCGGCCUACUAAGUCAGACGUGAAAUCCCCCGGCUUAACCUGGGAACUGCGUCUGAUACUGGAAGGCUUGAGGAUAGGAGAGGGAUGUAGAAUUCCUGGUGUAGCGGUGAAAUGCGCAGAUAUCAGGAGGAACACCGGUGGCGAAGGCGGAUCUCUGGGCCUUACCUGACGCUCAGGUGCGAAAGCUAGGGGAGCGAACAGG
This 253-nucleotide ribosomal RNA is filed under the name uncultured bacterium. RNAcentral describes it as "partial 16S ribosomal RNA". It matches the Rfam family "Bacterial small subunit ribosomal RNA", at positions 524 to 776 of the family's 1533-position model. The record is from RNAcentral.